AUGGAAGCCUAUGUGGAUAAGAUGCUGAGGUGGCCAUGGGACCCACAUGUCAUCCCCAUUGUCUUCUUCCCCUCUCUUCCUAUCUCAUCUCUCUCUCCUUCGCCUCCUGGUCGCAUCGCGCCGCCGCUGCCCGCUGCUGCACCAUCCUCUGAUCACCGCCCGCCUCCUAGCUGCGUCGCGGCGCCAUCCCUCCUGGUCCACCACUCCAGCGCCAUGACCGGCGAGCCAGAGGAGGAGCUCACCUCGCCCGGUCAUCCUCUGCUCGAUCUGGUCGUUGACCCGGCCGCCGCUGCGGCUCCUAGCACGCUCGUGCCUCCUGGUACGACUGUGCCGGCCUCGCCUCUAUCGGCCGCGCCUGGCGGGCGCUGGACCUCCACCGCCUCGACCCCACCGCUGCGGCCUCCCUAG
Molecule: ribosomal RNA, 408 nt
Filed under: Triticum aestivum (bread wheat)
Lineage: Eukaryota; Viridiplantae; Streptophyta; Magnoliopsida; Poales; Poaceae
Description: partial small subunit ribosomal RNA
Source: RNAcentral